RNAcentral lists this transfer RNA (540 nucleotides) under uncultured Prochlorococcus sp. Its description in RNAcentral is "partial 16S-23S ribosomal RNA intergenic spacer". The stretch from base 212 to 284 matches the Rfam family "tRNA". The record is from RNAcentral. Lineage: Bacteria; Bacillati; Cyanobacteriota; Cyanophyceae; Synechococcales; Prochlorococcaceae.
CAGGGAGACAACAAAAUGUUUAAUUUUAUAAUUUUGUCACCUUAGGUCGAUCGGUAUCUCACGUUCUUAAUUAAUUAAGAAUUUCAUUUUCUAAGUUUUUCUAGGUCACACCCAUUAUUUUUCCUGGGCCAUUAGCUCAGGUGGUUAGAGCGCACCCCUGAUAAGGGUGAGGUCCCUGGUUCAAGUCCAGGAUGGCCCAUAUCUCUAUGUUGGGGGUAUAGCUCAGUUGGUAGAGCGCCUGCUUUGCAAGCAGGAUGUCAGCGGUUCGAGUCCGCUUACCUCCACUGAUUACCACCUCUUCCAUAAUUUGGAUAAAGGAAAUUUUUUGAGUUGUGAUCACAUUCUGAACGAAUCUAGCUUCCUAAUGAAGUCAUUAAGAAGCUGGACUCAUUGAAUUAAUUUCAUUGUUUUCAGAGAACCUUGACAACUGCAUAGAUUAUUUUUAAAGACAAUAAGCAUCUUUAAUGAUGCAGAUUUAUUAUUUGUGCUAAUGCAUUAAUAACAAUUCUAUUAAGCUGAUGCUUCAAUUUUGAAGUUAUU